Capsicum annuum is the source of this 1218-nucleotide long non-coding RNA. RefSeq lists it as uncharacterized. NCBI's taxonomy places the organism in Eukaryota, Viridiplantae, Streptophyta, Magnoliopsida, Solanales, Solanaceae. The record is from RefSeq and is a predicted model, not a curated record. The transcript is spliced from 2 exons.
AUUUGAAAUUAAAUUGACCAAAAUUAAAAUACCCAAAGAUAGUCAAAAUUCCUAAAUCCCUUCCCCGUUAAAUCAGCCCAAGAUAGCCAACACCAUGCCCAACGACAACUUCGCCCCCACCAGCUAACCCAAAACGGCCCACCAAGGCACGACAACAACCAAACACUACCCAUUAACAACGUUAAACAGCAAUACACGAACAGCACAACGGCGUACCAUCUCAACAACACCGUAACAACCAACAACGACAAAUCCUAGCCAAUUUUACCAAUUUACCCUCUGGUUCGGUCGUUUCUAGCCAAAAUUCAGAGUGCUUUCGUUAGUUUCAGUCCAUGGUUCAGGCAAAACGUUAGCUCACUCUUUUGACCAACACGACCCACGACUCAUUUUGGUCUUUUAUGUCCACUUUUUCAUCUUCCCGUUCUGAGGAUCUCAAAAUCUCUUCUUUUUUCUUUACAAGAAGAUUUCAAAUCCGAAAAUUGGAAACCCUAGCUAUUCCACCCCCCCACCCCCUACCCCCAAUUUCCCUUAUAAAUAGAGGCCAAGGGGAAGGGGUGGAAAAAGAGAGGAUUUUGGGGGAAAAUUGGGGGUUCUGAAGGUGCUUGCCUUUAACCUCACAAAACCGAAAUUCUCAAAGAAUCGUCGAAAUAUCGAAAUUCGACGUUGUCGUUCAAAUUCUACUGGUUAGAAUCAAUUCGAGGUGGUGGUAUUUCAUUCGACUGAAAGUUCCUCGUCCGGUGUCACUGCCCGAAAAUCGACUCCCUUCCUUGCAUAUCCCAUUGGGCCAAAGAGGUACCAAGUCCAAAAUGGACUAAUGCAAGGAGAAAAUAGGCUGAUCCAAAGUUGUAUACACAGAUAUACAGCAGUAUGCGGCGGAAAUACGGCUGGAAAUGAGAAAGGGAAGCUAGUAUACAGGUGAAGGACUGAAGUUGUGUAUAUGUGAUCAAAAUACGGUCAUAUAUACACCGUAUAUAUACAAAAAACGCAAGGGUAAAGGGCGGUGAUAUACAAUCAGUAUACAUAGCUGUAAGGGCUGAAAAAUCCAUGAAAAUGGGCCCAAAAAUUGGGCAGAUUUCAAUGGGCCAAAUCAGGGGCCCAAAUCUUACACUUUUCCUCUUUAAGUUUGUUUGUAUAUUCCUAUUUGAUUAUUUGUUUGUAAUGAACUUUGGUUAAACCAAGUUAAACCACCUUUUUGAAUCGUCAUUUCUAUUUUUUCCU